Ananas comosus (pineapple) is the source of this 1321-nucleotide long non-coding RNA. RefSeq lists it as uncharacterized. The transcript has 2 exons. Lineage: Eukaryota; Viridiplantae; Streptophyta; Magnoliopsida; Poales; Bromeliaceae. The record is from RefSeq and is a predicted model, not a curated record.
ACCUAUCCUCACUUAAUUAUGAGUUCUCUCUUUUUGCUUUUGAAUAUUGAAAUAUCUAUAUAAUUGGAGGAGUUAUGUUUUGAUUUGUUUGCAUUUGGGAAAUAUAUUGUUGGUCUCUAUGUUACCAUCUCACACUUCUCGUGUUUAUUCUCAUAAUAAAGGUGUUGUAGUUUUCCUUUAUCAGUUGUUUCAUAUAGAAUGGUGGGUAAUCAUGAAGGUUACAUGAAUUGAAUUGAAUGAUCUCAUUCAUUUUGUGAAUAUGUGAUUGUAUGCUGAUAACUUUGUCCUCACUCUUGUCAAUUUGUCUGUAGUUUCAUGGUACUUGUAGAUAAGCUAAUGUGAUAAAAAAGGAGGAGAUUCAUGUUCUGUUUGGGUGGAGAAAAUAGGAGGCGAUUGAGGAUAUUAAUGGUCAAAUUAGAUUAGAAGUAUUUGUUUGCGAGAUAAAAAUUAGUGCACGAGAUUCCAAAUAUAGCUUUAUCAUUAUGAUGUUUUAAACAUAUUAGGGAUUUGGUGAAAAAUUAUGAAGUUUGAAAUCCAAUGAAGAUACACUCCUUUGCAUGUACAAGCCCCAGGAUGGCCUGUAAAUAAUGUUGUGUAAUGUUCAAAUUAAUCAAUAUUACAUAUAGUGCUAACGUGUUGUGGUCCUUUUUAAUUUCGUGAAAAUUGAUCUAAAUGUUUCUCUUUCGCCAAUUGUUGCCGUGACAAAAUCAUGAGCAGUAAUGAGAGCAGCACCAUAACACCUAAUAUCAAUGAUAGUAAGCAUUGCCUAGUAAUUGAUAAUGAUGUCUUACCAUUGGCCAUAUGCGAGCUGGUGGAGCAAAGAAGAAAAUCAUGAUGCAGAGGCAUGCCUGCUGUCAUAGCUUUAUAAUAUUCUCAAGUCUUUGUAUUCAGAGGCGGUUGAAAAAUGAUUGGAAUUAUGGGCUCUACUCAAUUUGUAGGGCUAACAGAGAUAAGAACACCAUUUUGUUGAAUGUGGAGACUUACAAAGAUACAGAUUGCCGAAGAGCAACAAACUUCUGCACUAAAUUUCGAAGAAAGUGAUCCAUAGAAAUUUCUAGCAUAUGGAGUUAGUCUGAUAGUCAGUUGCUUUCCAACAAAGUUGGCGAGUAGGGAUGCUGAUAAAUCGAGUUGGCACUAUGCAUCUAUUGAAGUUCCCUUCCUUUUUCUUUUUCCGAUUGUGGAUGUAUGUGGUAAAUAAGACACUAUCUGUGAAUGCCAUUCCUAUGAUCUUUGUUUUAAGCGUACUUUUUGUAUAAGAUAUUGGCGCGAAGAUGUUGAUUAAUUGAUUCUGUGCUGUGAAAGAGACUGCUGGUUCCAAAUA